Molecule: ribosomal RNA, 253 nt
Filed under: uncultured bacterium
Lineage: Bacteria
Description: partial 16S ribosomal RNA
Rfam family: Bacterial small subunit ribosomal RNA
Source: RNAcentral
UACGGAGGGCGCAGGCAUUGUUCGGAAUCACUGGGCGUAAAGCGCGUGUAGGCGGCUCUGCAAGUCGGGUGUGAAAUCCCGAGGCUCAACCUCGGAACUGCACUCGAUACUGCUUGGCUCGAGUCCCGGAGAGGGUGGCGGAAUUCCCGGUGUAGGGGUGAAAUCCGUAGAUAUCGGGAGGAACACCAGUGGCGAAGGCGGCCACCUGGACGGUGACUGACGCUGAGACGCGAAAGCGUGGGGAGCAAACAGG